UAUAGCAUCAGGGUUCCACCUCUUCCCAUUCCGAACAGAGAAGUUAAGCCUGAUCACGCCGAUGGUACUGCGUAACAGUGGGAGAGUAGGUAGUCGCCGUUUU
Molecule: ribosomal RNA, 103 nt
Filed under: Bacteroides fragilis HMW 610
Lineage: Bacteria; Pseudomonadati; Bacteroidota; Bacteroidia; Bacteroidales; Bacteroidaceae
Source: RNAcentral